Molecule: ribosomal RNA, 292 nt
Filed under: uncultured bacterium
Lineage: Bacteria
Description: partial 16S ribosomal RNA
Rfam family: Bacterial small subunit ribosomal RNA
Source: RNAcentral
GUGCCAGCCGCCGCGGUAAUACGGAGGGCGCAAGCGUUGUCCGGAAUCAUUGGGCGUAAAGGGUGCGCAGGCGGGGCAGCAAGUCGGAGGUGAAAGCCCAUGGCUCAACCAUGGAAGAGCCUUCGAAACUGUUGCUCUUGAGUCCCGGAGAGGCAGGCGGAAUUCGUGGUGUAGCGGUGAAAUGCGUAGAUAUCACGAGGAACACCAGAGGCGAAAGCGGACAGCUGGACGGGUACUGACGCUCAGGCACGAAAGCGUGGGGAGCAAACAGGAUUAGAAACCCCGGUAGUCC